Molecule: transfer RNA, 72 nt
Filed under: Sus scrofa (pig)
Lineage: Eukaryota; Metazoa; Chordata; Mammalia; Artiodactyla; Suidae
Rfam family: tRNA
About the family: Transfer RNA (tRNA) molecules are approximately 80 nucleotides in length.
Source: Rfam by way of RNAcentral
UCCCUGGUGGUCCUGUGGUUUGAAUUUGGCACUUCAACUGCUGCAGCCCAGGUUCAAUCCCUGGUCUGGGAG